Manis javanica (Malayan pangolin) is the source of this 1406-nucleotide long non-coding RNA. RefSeq lists it as uncharacterized. The record is from RefSeq and is a predicted model, not a curated record. NCBI's taxonomy places the organism in Eukaryota, Metazoa, Chordata, Mammalia, Pholidota, Manidae.
GCGCUGUGCAGGCCCCACUUUCUAAGUCCUGUUCCUGCAGAGAAUCCUGUGACACUCAGGCUUGGGCCGUGUCUUCCUUCCUGGGCGGGGAUUGCCCCAGUCCAAGCUGUAGCCCUGCCCAGUCUCCCCGCCUCUACCUGCCUCUCUCCUCCUCACUUCAGGGAGUAGGGAGGCAGGCAGGGAGCGGAGCCAAGGCACUUUUGUGUGUCAGUAAUUGUAUGUAUAAAAACAUAUCCACAAUAAUAAUAAUAAUUACUUUUUAUUGAGCAAUUGCAACAAGCCAGAUACAAUGCUAUUUGACUUGGACAGUUUCACUUCACACAAGCCUAGGAGGUAAGUGCUGUUGUUAUCCCAUUUUACAGAUAAGAACACUGAGACCCAGAGACAUUAAAAGACUGGGCCAGGUUACCUGGCUUAUUACUAAUGGGAUUCAAAGCCAGGUCUUGAGGAUGUGUUUAACCACCAGACUUUGAAAGGAAGAGCAGUAUCGUUUAUAUUAAUAGGGCCACUUGCCUUUGUUUAGUGAACAUUCCCACUUGACCCAAAGGCCCUUUCCCAUCCUACAUAAUUAGUCACAGGCCUGAUAAAGGCAAAUACACAAAUGUCAUAUUGAAAUGCAUGUAAAUUCUGCCACUGACUAGCUGGGUCUCACCUCGUCUCCCUUAUGAAGAGAUGUAACACAACCCUGUUGUAUUCUUGCCAAAAACAUUUAGCUGGACUCCGACUGUUAGGCAGAAAGACAGACAUAAGCAGGUGGGGGGAGAAUAAGGCCAGUGACGCCCACUAAAAGGGACUCAAAGAGUUAACCAGAUAAAACCAGAGAGCCAGAAAAGACAGAGUUACUUAGCUGAAGUCUCUCGAGAACCAGGAGGGACUUGGAAUGUCCAGACACUUCCCAGAUGAAAAACAACUUCCCAGAGGAGAAGCUUCUAAGAACAGACACGGCCCAGAUAAAAUACCAGAAGACAGAAACAGCAAGCAUCAAGUGCAGCCCAUGUCUUCUAUUUACCAAUUAGACCAGGCCCCCAAGGCCAAAGACCGUCAAUCAAGGACUUCCCUGUCCUGCCAAAAUCCCCACAAAAAGAAGCCUCACAUGAGGACAAGAAGCAAGGAGAACCGACUCAACCUGUAACAUGACUAUGAGAAAAAAGACAAAUAUAGAACAUGGGACAUUUCCAAGGCAACUAACUGAUCCGUCUCUGCCAAACACUUCUCCAGGGGGCAAUGUCAUGAAAGACGAUAGAAAAGCAAGACAGCCAAACAGAAGAUGACAUGUCAUGAUGUCUGCAGUGUGCUCUCAUGUGGUUCCAGAAAAGAAGUAAUAAAGGAGAAAAAGAGAGUGUAACUCCAGGGAGAGGAAAUACUGGGGCAAAAUAUAUCUAAAACUGAAAUCAGUCAAAGGGAGA